RNAcentral lists this ribosomal RNA (509 nucleotides) under uncultured bacterium. RNAcentral describes it as "partial 16S ribosomal RNA". It matches the Rfam family "Bacterial small subunit ribosomal RNA", at positions 28 to 507 of the family's 1533-position model. The record is from RNAcentral.
GACGAACGCUGGCGGCGUGCUUAACACAUGCAAGUCGAACGAAGAGCGAUGGAAGCUUGCUUCUAUCAAUCUUAGUGGCGAACGGGUGAGUAACGCGUAAUCAACCUGCCCUUCAGAGGGGGACAACAGUUGGAAACGACUGCUAAUACCGCAUACGAUCUAUCCCCGCCAUGAAGGAAAGAGAAAGGGUGGCUCUAACAGUUAGCUAUCAAUUGAGGGGGGGGUUGCGUCUGAUUAGCUAGUUGGGGGGGUCACGGCCCACCAAGGCGAUGAUCAGUAGGCGGUCUGCGAGGAUGAACGGCCACAUUGGGACUGGGACACGGCCCAGACUCCUACGGGAGGCAGCAGUGGGGAAUCUUCCGCAAUGGACGAAAGUCUGACGGAGCAACGCCGCGUGAGUGAUGACGGCCUUCGGGUUGUAAAGCUCUGUUAAUCGGGACGAAAGGCCUUCUUGCGAAUAGUGAGAAGGAUUGACGGUACCGGAAUAGAAAGCCACGGCUAACUACGUG